Molecule: long non-coding RNA, 223 nt
Filed under: Capsicum annuum
Lineage: Eukaryota; Viridiplantae; Streptophyta; Magnoliopsida; Solanales; Solanaceae
Description: long non-coding RNA (CANN_LNC006769)
Source: RNAcentral
AACAAUAACCUAGAAAUAGACGAACUUAUUAACCAAUUAAAAAGAAUUGAACUAACUCCUAAACAAGAACGAAAAAAUAUAAUACGAAAACCACAAAAAUGGACUUUCUAUCAAAUAGACGGAGAGCCAUCGAAAAUAAUACAGGACAAGGAGAAGAAAGACAAAGAAUAAGUUUUUCAGAAAAUAGAAUAGGAAAUAAUAAUAUAUUAGCAAGAAUAUGCAG